GAACGCUAGCGGCAGGCUUAACACAUGCGAGUCGAGGGCAGCAUAAACAUUGCUUGCAAUGUUUGAUGGCGACCGGCGCACGGGUGCGUAACGCGUAUGUAACCUACCUCAAACAGGGGCAUAACACUGAGAAAUUGGUACUAAUACCCCAUAACACCUAAAGAGGCAUCUUUUUGGGUUGAAAGUUCCGGCGGUUAAAGAUGGACAUGCGUUGUAUUAGCUAGAUGGUGAGGUAACGGCUCACCAUGGCGACGAUACAUAGGGGGACUGAGAGGUUAACCCCCCACACUGGUACUGAGACACGGACCAGACUCCUACGGGAGGCAGCAGUGAGGAAUAUUGGUCAAUGGACGCAAGUCUGAACCAGCCAUGCCGCGUGCAGGAUGACGGCUCUAUGAGUUGUAAACUGCUUUUGUACAAGGGUAAACCCUGGGACGUGUCCCGGGCUGAAAGUACUGUACGAAUAAGGAUCGGCUAACUCCGUG
RNAcentral lists this ribosomal RNA (485 nucleotides) under uncultured bacterium. RNAcentral describes it as "bacterial SSU rRNA". It matches the Rfam family "Bacterial small subunit ribosomal RNA", at positions 31 to 507 of the family's 1533-position model. The record is from RNAcentral.